CUGUCGGCGAGUGGCGAACGGGUGAGUAUAGCAUCGAACGUGCCAAGUAGUGGGGGAUAACCAAACGAAAGUUUGGCUAAUACCGCGUAAGCUCCAAGGAGGAAAGUAGGGGACCUAAUAAGGCCUUACGCUAUUUGAUCGGCCGAUGUCGGAUUAGCUAGUUGGUGGGGUAAUGGCUCACCAAGGCAAUGAUCCGUAGCGGGUCUGAGAGGACGAUCCGCCACACUGGGACUGAGACACGGCCCAG
RNAcentral lists this ribosomal RNA (247 nucleotides) under uncultured Neisseriales bacterium. RNAcentral's name for it is "partial 16S ribosomal RNA". It matches the Rfam family "Bacterial small subunit ribosomal RNA", at positions 85 to 334 of the family's 1533-position model. The record is from RNAcentral. Lineage: Bacteria; Pseudomonadati; Pseudomonadota; Betaproteobacteria; Neisseriales.